Molecule: small RNA, 740 nt
Filed under: Pongo abelii (Sumatran orangutan)
Lineage: Eukaryota; Metazoa; Chordata; Mammalia; Primates; Hominidae
Description: processed transcript
Source: RNAcentral
AAGUAAUGGAUUUCCGCACACAACUGAUAAGGCUCUGUUACAGCUCCGACCACGAAAAACUGAAGCCUCAGUACUUGGAAGAGCUACCUGGACAACUGAAACAAUUCUCCAUGUUUCUGGGGAAAUUCUCAUGGUUUGCCGGGGAAAAGCUCACCUUUGUGGAUUUUCUCACCUAUGAUAUCUUGGAUCAGAACCGUAUAUUUGACCCCAAGUGCCUGGAUGAGUUCCCAAACCUGAAGGCUUUCAUGUGCCGUUUUGAGGUGACGUUUCCUGCACCUUUCUCUUAUAAAAACACUCACAGCUCCCCUGGGACCUGCAGGAUCCCAUUGUGGAGGAUUCUUCCCCGGCUUUUGCCUAAAGGGAUCAAUGGUUGGACACCUCUAAACCUUUAAGUCUUGGGAAGAGCCUGACUUCUAUACCUUGAAGGCACUGUCUACAAAAAAUGGAGGAGGUAGACGCAGGCAACACGUGAAUGUUGCUGUUCUGGUAUGCAUCUGUUGGACUGGGUUGGGGUCUUUAUAAGAUUUGGUGUAUUUUCCUUUCAGGCUUUGGAGAAAAUCGCUGCCUACAUACAGUCUGAUCAGUUCUUCAAGAUGCCCAUCAACAACAAGAUGGCCCAGUGGGGCAACAAGCCUGUAUGCUGAGCAGGAGGCAGACUUGCAGAGCUUGUUUUGUUUCAUCCUGUCCCUAAGGGGUCAGCACUCUUUCUUUGCUCUUUUCAAUAAAUAGCACUUACGUUA